UGGCACGCGGUCGCGUCGCGUUAUGUCCGGCGUCGUAGGCGUGCACUUCUCCCCCAGUAGGACGUCGCGACCCGUUGGGCGUCGGCAAUAAGGCCCGCAAUGGUAGACUGGCGCGUCGCUUUACCGCGCACGUCGUCAGACCUUCGCGGUUGCCCGGCCGGCUGCCCGGCGGUACUCGCACGGUAUAGAGCCGCAAACAACUCGAACUUGCGCCCAGCCCGUCGCAAGCUCGGUCAGCGUUUCCCGGUGGUCGGACCUCGUGCCGUCCCCGGGCCUGGCCAGCUGUUGGCAGACGGUGUCCUCGGGCGGGCUCGCUGUUUAACAAAUAACCGGUCGGCGACCCUAUUGCUUUGGGUACUUUCA
This 363-nucleotide ribosomal RNA is filed under the name Ancyloneura sp. 1 SS-2014. RNAcentral describes it as "eukaryotic LSU rRNA". Lineage: Eukaryota; Metazoa; Arthropoda; Insecta; Hymenoptera; Pergidae. The record is from RNAcentral.